Molecule: ribosomal RNA, 402 nt
Filed under: uncultured bacterium
Lineage: Bacteria
Description: bacterial SSU rRNA
Rfam family: Bacterial small subunit ribosomal RNA
Source: RNAcentral
UCGGGAAUUUUGGGCAAUGGGCGAAAGCCUGACCCAGCAACGCCGCGUGAGGGAUGAAGUAUUUCGGUAUGUAAACCUCGAAAGAAUGGGAAGAAUAAAUGACGGUACCAUUUAUAAGCUCCGGCUAACUACGUGCCAGCAGCCGCGGUAAUACGUAGGGAGCAAGCGUUGUUCGGAUUUACUGGGCGUAAAGGGCGCGUAGGCGGCGCGGUAAGUCACUUGUGAAAUCUCUGAGCUUAACUCAGAACGGCCAAGUGAUACUGCUGUUCUAGAGUGCGGAAGAGGCAACCGGAAUUCUUGGUGUAGCGGUGAAAUGCGUAGAUAUCAAGAGGAACACCCGAGACGAAGGCGGGUUGCUGGGCCGACACUGACGCUGAUGCGCGAAAGCCAGGGGAGCAAACG